RNAcentral lists this ribosomal RNA (251 nucleotides) under uncultured prokaryote. RNAcentral describes it as "partial 16S rRNA". It matches the Rfam family "Bacterial small subunit ribosomal RNA", at positions 525 to 775 of the family's 1533-position model. The record is from RNAcentral.
ACGGAGGAUGCGAGAGUUAUCCGGAUUUAUUGGGUUUAAAGGGUGCGUAGGCGGAAAAAUAAGUCCGUGAAGAAAACUUUCAGCUUAACUGGAGGCUUGCCAUUGAUACUGUUAUUCUUGAGUAUGGUUAAGGUAGGCGGAAUGUGUAAUGUAGCGGUGAAAUGCUUAGAUAUUACACAGAACACCGAUUGCGAAGGCAGCUUACGGAGCUAUAACUGACGCUGAUGCACGAAAGCGUGGGGAGCGAACAG